AAGAGAGAAUGCCGGUAUGAGUAGCGAGAGGCAUGCGAGAAACAUGCCCGUCGAAAGCCCAAGGUUUCCUGGGGAAGGUUCAUCCGCCCAGGGUAAGUCGGGGCCUAAGCCGAGGACGGAAGUCGUAGGCGAUGGACAGCAGGUGUAGAUUCCUGCACUACCGAUGGAAUGAAGCAGUGACACAGAAGGAUAACUCGAGCAGGGUGAUGGUCAACCCUGUGCAAGCAUCAAGGUUGGGUUGUAGUGAAGUACGCAAUCCUAUAAGCUGAGGUGUGAUGCGGACCGAAAUUUCAGUAGGGAAGCGAGUGAGUUCACGCUGGCGAGAAAAGCUGCUAGUAUAUCCAAAGGUACCCGUACCGGAAACCGACGCAGGUGGGCGAGGAGAGAAUCCUGAGACGAACGGGAGAACCCUUGUUAAGGAACUCGGCAAAAUGACCCCGUAACUUCGGGAUAAGGGGUGCCUGCGAGAGCAGGCCGCAGAGAAUAGUCACAAGCGACUGUUUAGCAAAAACACAGGUAUCUGCGAAAGCGAGAGCUGACGUAUAGGUGCUGACACCUGCCCGGUGCUGGAAGGUUAAGGGAACAUGUUAGAGCAAUCGAAGCAUCGAACCGAAGCCCCAGUAAACGGCGGCCGUAACUAUAACGGUCCUAAGGUAGCGAAAUUCCUUGUCGGGUAAGUUCCGACCCGCACGAAUGGUGUAACGACUUGUGAGCUGUCUCAACAGGGGGCCCGGUGAAAUUGAAGUAUGGGUGAAGAUGCCCAUUACCCGCGACUGGACGGAGAGACCCCGUAGAGCUUUACUGCAGCCUGAUAUUGAGUUUCGGUAACUGAUGCACAGGAUAGGUGGGAGUCUGAGAGACAUGGGUUUCGGCUCAUGUGGAGACGCUGUUGGGAUACCACUCUUCGGUUACUGAAAUUCUAACAUAGCUCUGUGAAACCAGAGGAUGGACAGUGUCAGGUGGACAGUUUGACUGGGGCGGUCGCCUCCGAAAGAGUAACGGAGGCGCCCAAAGGUACCCUCAGAAUGGAUGGAAACCAUUCGAAGAGCGCAAAGGCAGAAGGGUGCCUGACUGCGAGAUUGACAAAUCGAGCAGAGACGAAAGUCGGGCUUAGUGAUCCGGCGGUAUUGAGUGGAAAAGCCGUCGCUUAACGGAUAAAAGCUACCUCGGGGAUAACAGGCUGAUCUCCCCCAAGAGUCCACAUCGACGGGGAGGUUUGGCAC
Molecule: ribosomal RNA, 1223 nt
Filed under: human gut metagenome
Description: bacterial LSU rRNA
Rfam family: Bacterial large subunit ribosomal RNA
Source: RNAcentral